GCGCGAUUAGCUCAGCGGGAGAGCGCUUCCCUGACACGGAAGAGGUCACUGGUUCAAUCCCAGUAUCGCGCACUA
Molecule: transfer RNA, 75 nt
Filed under: Corynebacterium striatum
Lineage: Bacteria; Bacillati; Actinomycetota; Actinomycetes; Mycobacteriales; Corynebacteriaceae
Also listed under: 5 other names
Description: tRNA-Val
Rfam family: tRNA
About the family: Transfer RNA (tRNA) molecules are approximately 80 nucleotides in length. Their secondary structure includes four short double-helical elements and three loops (D, anti-codon, and T loops).
Source: RNAcentral